This 83-nucleotide transfer RNA is filed under the name Coprinellus micaceus. It matches the Rfam family "tRNA". From Rfam's summary of the family: Transfer RNA (tRNA) molecules are approximately 80 nucleotides in length. The record is from Rfam by way of RNAcentral. Lineage: Eukaryota; Fungi; Basidiomycota; Agaricomycetes; Agaricales; Psathyrellaceae.
UGCCCCAUGGCUGAGUUGUUACAGCGUCCGACUGUUAUGCUCGAGCAAUCGGAAGGUCGUGAGUUCGAGCCUCACUGGGGCAG